This 468-nucleotide ribosomal RNA is filed under the name uncultured bacterium. RNAcentral describes it as "partial 16S ribosomal RNA". It matches the Rfam family "Bacterial small subunit ribosomal RNA", at positions 28 to 507 of the family's 1533-position model. The record is from RNAcentral.
GAUGAACGCUGGCGGCGUGCUUAACACAUGCAAGUCGAACGGAAAGGCCCAAGCUUGCUUGGGUACUCGAGUGGCGAACGGGUGAGUAACACGUGGGUGAUCUGCCCUGCACUUCGGGAUAAGCCUGGGAAACUGGGUCUAAUACCGGAUAGGACCACGUCUUGGAUGUUGUGGUGGAAAGAUUUUUCGGUGUGGGAUGAGCUCGCGGCCUAUCAGCUUGUUGGUGGGGUAAUGGCCUACCAAGGCGUCGACGGGUAGCCGGCCUGAGAGGGUGUACGGCCACAUUGGGACUGAGAUACGGCCCAGACUCCUACGGGGGGCAGCAGUGGGGAAUAUUGCACAAUGGGCGCAAGCCUGAUGCAGCGACGCCGCGUGGGGGAUGACGGCCUUCGGGUUGUAAACUCCUUUCGCUAGGGACGAAGCGUUUUUGUGACGGUACCUGGAGAAGAAGCACCGGCUAACUACGUG